ACGACAGGUGAUAUCAAGUGCUAGGAUUAAAGAUAAGUUUUAUUAGGGUACACAAUUUACUGGGGAUGUGAAGACCAUACAGAACCAUCUUGGGCAUUAGGGACAAGCCUAUGUUGUGACAGAGAGAAGCAUAAAUUUCCAGAGGACCUAAGGCUAAAUCUCCCAGCAAGAUGGCCUUCUGACUGCGUGAGGAAUGAGGUUUCAGAAGUCAGA
Onychomys torridus (southern grasshopper mouse) is the source of this 213-nucleotide long non-coding RNA. RefSeq lists it as uncharacterized. NCBI's taxonomy places the organism in Eukaryota, Metazoa, Chordata, Mammalia, Rodentia, Cricetidae. The record is from RefSeq and is a predicted model, not a curated record. The transcript has 3 exons.